Molecule: ribosomal RNA, 427 nt
Filed under: Biomphalaria straminea
Lineage: Eukaryota; Metazoa; Mollusca; Gastropoda; Planorbidae
Description: partial 16S ribosomal RNA
Rfam family: Bacterial large subunit ribosomal RNA
Source: RNAcentral
AAUUUUUCCAGGGAAUUCUGCCCAGUGAUUUUUUUUUAAAUGGCCGCAGUACCUUGACUGUGCUAAGGUAGCAUAAUCAAUUGGCUUCUAAUUAAAGUCUGGAAUGAAAGGAAAUAUGAAGUAAUUCUAUCUUAAAGGAUUUUUUUUGAAUUUAUUUAAAUGAUGAAAAUAUCAUUUUAUAGAAAAAAGACGAGAAGACCCUUAGAGUUUUGAUAUUUAUAUAUUUUUGUUGGGGCGACAGGUAAACAUAUAACUUUACGAAUUAUCAUUGAUCGAUUUUUUAUAAGAAUAAUAAAACUACCUUAGGGAUAACAGCAUUAUAUUUUUUUUUAUGAUUGUGACCUCGAUGUUGGACUAGGAACUUUAUGGCUAGCCGUCAAAAAAGAUUUGUUCUGUUCGAACAAUUUUAUCCUACGUGAUCUGAUUU